GAUGAACGCUGGCGGCGUGCAUAACACAUUCAAGUCGAACGAAGCAGCAAUGCUGAGUGGCGGACGGGUGAGUAACGCGUGAGCAACCUGCCUAUGAUUGUGGAAUAACACAGGGAAACUUGUGCUAAUACCGCAUAACGCAGCGGAACCGCAUGGUUCUGCUGCCAAAGAUAUAUUGAUCAUAGAUGGGCUCGCGUCUGAUUAGAUAGUUGGCAGGGUAAUGGCCUACCAAGUCUGCGAUCAGUAGCCGGACUGAGAGGUCGAACGGCCACAUUGGAACUGAGAUACGGUCCAGACUCCUACGGGUGGCAG
RNAcentral lists this ribosomal RNA (312 nucleotides) under uncultured Bacillota bacterium. RNAcentral's name for it is "bacterial SSU rRNA". It matches the Rfam family "Bacterial small subunit ribosomal RNA", at positions 28 to 351 of the family's 1533-position model. Lineage: Bacteria; Bacillati; Bacillota. The record is from RNAcentral.